CGGGCCGGACAGGCGGUCGCUUUCCCGGUUCCGGGAAGGAGGAAAGUCCGGACUCCCGCGGGCAGCGUGCCGGGGAAAUCCCGGUCGGGGCAACCCGAAGGAAAGUGGCACAGAAAACAGACCGCCCCGCGGGCCUCAGCGCCCGUGUGGUAAGGGUGAAAAGGUGCGGUAAGAGCGCACCGCGAACCCUGGCAACAGGGUCGGCAGGCUAAACCCCACGCGGAGCAAGACCGAAUAGGGAGGCGCCAGGGACGCCCGCUCCCGCGGCCGAAAGGCCAGCGCUUCCGGGUAGGUCGCUCGAGGCCGGCCGGAAGGCCGGUCCCAGAGGAAUGACCGCCGGUCCCCUUCGCGCGAGCGGGGGGACGACAGAAUCCGGCUUACCGUCCGGCCCGGGUC
RNAcentral lists this RNase P RNA (396 nucleotides) under Acidobacteriota bacterium. RNAcentral's name for it is "Acidobacteria bacterium RNase P RNA component class A". It matches the Rfam family "Bacterial RNase P class A". Rfam says of the family: Ribonuclease P (RNase P) is a ubiquitous endoribonuclease, found in archaea, bacteria and eukarya as well as chloroplasts and mitochondria. Its best characterised activity is the generation of mature 5'-ends of tRNAs by cleaving the 5'-leader elements of precursor-tRNAs. Cellular RNase Ps are ribonucleoproteins. The record is from RNAcentral. Lineage: Bacteria; Pseudomonadati; Acidobacteriota. RNAcentral also lists the same sequence under 1 other name.